Molecule: ribosomal RNA, 253 nt
Filed under: uncultured bacterium
Lineage: Bacteria
Description: partial 16S ribosomal RNA
Rfam family: Bacterial small subunit ribosomal RNA
Source: RNAcentral
UACGGAGGAUGCAGGCGUUAUCCGGAUUUAUUAGGUUUAAAGGGUGCGUAGGCGGCCCGGUAAGUCAGUGGUGAAAGUUUGCGGCUCAACCGUAAAAUUGCCAUUGAUACUGUCGGGCUAGAAUAUGGUGGAGGUAGGCGGAAUGUGUAGUGUAGCGGUGAAAUGCUUAGAUAUUACACAGAACACCGAUUGCGAAGGCAGCUUGCUAUACCAUUAUUGACGCUGAUGCACGAAAGCGUGGGGAGCGAACAGG